RNAcentral lists this unclassified non-coding RNA (336 nucleotides) under soil metagenome. Its description in RNAcentral is "partial contains 5.8S ribosomal RNA, internal transcribed spacer 2, and large subunit ribosomal RNA". The stretch from base 1 to 120 matches the Rfam family "5.8S ribosomal RNA", at positions 35 to 154 of the family's 154-position model. The record is from RNAcentral.
GAUGAAGAACGCAGCGAAAUGCGAUAAGUAAUGUGAAUUGCAGAAUUCAGUGAAUCAUCGAAUCUUUGAACGCACAUUGCGCCCGCCGGUAUUCUGGCGGGCAUGCCUGUUCGAGCGUCAUUUCAACCAUCAAGCCCCCGGCUUGUGUUGGGGACCUGCGGCUGCCGCAGGCCCUGAAAAGCAGUGGCGGGCUCGCUGUCACACCGAGCGUAGUAGCAUACAUCUCGCUCUGGGCGUGCUGCGGGUUCCGGCCGUUAAACCACCUUCAUAACCCAAGGUUGACCUCGGAUCAGGUAGGAAGACCCGCUGAACUUAAGCAUAUCAAUAAGCGGAGGA